Molecule: ribosomal RNA, 504 nt
Filed under: uncultured bacterium
Lineage: Bacteria
Description: partial 16S ribosomal RNA
Rfam family: Bacterial small subunit ribosomal RNA
Source: RNAcentral
AUUGAACGCUGGCGGCAGGCCUAACACAUGCAAGUCGAGCGGUAGCACAGAGAGCUUGCUCUCGGGUGACGAGCGGCGGACGGGUGAGUAAUGUCUGGGAAACUGCCUGAUGGAGGGGGAUAACUACUGGAAACGGUAGCUAAUACCGCAUAAUGUCGCAAGACCAAAGUGGGGGACCUUCGGGCCUCAUGCCAUCAGAUGUGCCCAGAUGGGAUUAGCUAGUAGGUGAGGUAACGGCUCACCUAGGCGACGAUCCCUAGCUGGUCUGAGAGGAUGACCAGCCACACUGGAACUGGGACACGGGCCAGACUCCUACGGGAGGCAGCAGUGGGGAAUAUUGCACAAUGGGCGCAAGCCUGAUGCAGCCAUGCCGCGUGUGUGAAGAAGGCCUUCGGGUUGUAAAGCACUUUCAGCGGGGAGGAAGGCGUUAAGGUUAAUAACCUUGGCGAUUGACGUUACCCGCAGAAGAAGCACCGGCUAACUCCGUGCCAGCCACCGCCGUAA